RNAcentral lists this small RNA (517 nucleotides) under Arabidopsis thaliana (thale cress). RNAcentral describes it as "ATSL270210". The record is from RNAcentral. Lineage: Eukaryota; Viridiplantae; Streptophyta; Magnoliopsida; Brassicales; Brassicaceae.
CAUGUGUAUGGGUGAGUAUACCAUCUAGAACCGCAAUUGGAAUUUUAAAAGCCUAAAUAUUGUAUCCUUGUUAGAGGAUACAAAGACAAACACUCAUACGGACUUUGGCUACACCAUCAAAGCUUUGAGAAGCAAGAAGAAGCUUGGAUAGUGUUUUCGAGUCGAAUAUGACUAGAUGUGAUGUGUAUGAUUGAGUAUAAGAAAUUAAACCGCAACCGGAUCUUAAAAGCCUAAGUAGUGUUUCCUUGUUAGAAGAUACAAAGGCAAAGCCUCAUACAGACUUUAGGUAUACCAUCAAAGCCUUGAGAAGCAAGAAGAAGCUUGGUUAGUGUUUUGGAGUCAAAUAUUACUAGAUGUCAUGUGUAUGAGUGAGUCAGACAACUAGAACCAUAACCGGAUCUUAAAAACCUAAGUACUGAAUCUUUAUUAGAAGAUAUAAAGACAAAGACUCAUACGGACUUCGACUACACUAACAAAGCUUUGAGAAGCAAGAAGAAGCUUUGUUAGUGUUUUGGAU